This 484-nucleotide ribosomal RNA is filed under the name uncultured bacterium. RNAcentral describes it as "partial 16S ribosomal RNA". It matches the Rfam family "Bacterial small subunit ribosomal RNA", at positions 30 to 507 of the family's 1533-position model. The record is from RNAcentral.
AGUGAACGCUGGCGGCAGGCCUAACACAUGCAAGUCGAGCGGCAGCGGGUCCUUCGGGAUGCCGGCGAGCGGCGGACGGGUGAGGAAUACAUCGGAAUCUGCCCUGUCGUGGGGGAUAACCUGGGGAAACUUAGGCUAAUACCGCAUACGACCUACGGGUGAAAGCGGGGGAUCGCAAGACCUCGCGCGACAGGAUGAGCCGAUGUCCGAUUAGCUAGUUGGCGGGGUAAAGGCCCACCAAGGCGACGAUCGGUAGCUGGUCUGAGAGGAUGAUCAGCCACACUGGGACUGAGACACGGCCCAGACUCCUACGGGAGGCAGCAGUGGGGAAUAUUGGACAAUGGGCGCAAGCCUGAUCCAGCCAUGCCGCGUGGGUGAAGAAGGCCUUCGGGUUGUAAAGCCCUUUUGUCCGGGAAGAAAUCGUCUGGGCUAAUACCCCGGGCGGAUGACGGUACCGGAAGAAUAAGCACCGGCUAACUUCGUG